GACGAACGCUGGCGGCGUGCUUAACACAUGCAAGUCGAACGGAAAGGCCCUGCUUUUGUGGGGUGCUCGAGUGGCGAACGGGUGAGUAACACGUGAGUAACCUGCCCUUGACUUUGGGAUAACUUCAGGAAACUGGGGCUAAUACCGGAUAGGAGCUCCUGCUGCAUGGUGGGGGUUGGAAAGUUUCGGCGGUUGGGGAUGGACUCGCGGCUUAUCAGCUUGUUGGUGGGGUAGUGGCUUACCAAGGCUUUGACGGGUAGCCGGCCUGAGAGGGUGACCGGGCAGACGGGGAGGGAGAUACAGCCAAGACGCAGACGGGAGGAAGCAGUGGGGAAUAGGGCAGGAUGGGCGAAAGCGUGAUGGAGCGACGGCGCGGGAGGGAGGAAGGAAGGCGGGUUGGAAACAUAGGUCAGCAGGGAAGAAGCGAAAGUGACGGUAGCUGCAGAAGAAGCACAGGAUAAAUACGGG
This 468-nucleotide ribosomal RNA is filed under the name uncultured bacterium. RNAcentral describes it as "partial 16S ribosomal RNA". It matches the Rfam family "Bacterial small subunit ribosomal RNA", at positions 28 to 507 of the family's 1533-position model. The record is from RNAcentral.